AUUCAAGCUAACCUAUAUCCCCAUUUUCAAACUAAAAGAGGGUUUCCUGGUUCUUUUGUUGCUUUAAUUCCUGGUGUGCACGAUGCGAGGCCAUCGUACCAUAAAAGGGCAAAGAGGCGCCAAAAGAGCCAUGAUUAAUGAGCAACAUUCUCCUUUACCUUCGGAUCCACCUGCGGGAGCUGCUAUAUUUGAGCUGCGGGGACCUGCUGAGGCAGCAGCGCAGACUGCUCUGUCCAAUUCAGCCUUAACAAACACGGAGAAGGAGCGUAAGUUACGUGGACAAUCUGUCUUUUAUUCGUCUCAAGUCUAUUUAUUGUCGGCAGGCGGUGCGUCUCGUUUUCCUACAGAGGACAAAGGAUGUUUUGUAUAAAACCUAACAAGGUUAUUUUGGUAACUACAGCCAAAAUGAAUUCCUCCAUCGACAGAUGUGCAUCUCCAUGUGCCGAUAAAGGGACGGAGCCGAUGGAGGGAUUGACAGAAUGAUGGUGGAAGAGAAGGAGGGGAACAAGAAGAGAGGUGACAUCAUGUGCUCAGCCUGCUCCCACUCAAGUCGUACGCCAAGCAGACAAAGGAGUCACAUCGAAACCAAGUCAGGCACAGGAUAGCCAGCUCCCACUAAUCUGAUGUGGUUACAGAUCUUUCUGAAGUUUGCAAAUUUCUAAAGGCAACUACAGCCACCUCACUGCCUCCCUUUUAAGAACUCUAUCAGUUGUAGUCCCUGCAACAAGACAGUACGGCUAUGUCCCAGCCUCUUAUUAUUUGCUAUUUG
Oreochromis aureus is the source of this 769-nucleotide long non-coding RNA. The record is from Ensembl. NCBI's taxonomy places the organism in Eukaryota, Metazoa, Chordata, Actinopteri, Cichliformes, Cichlidae.